CCUAUUAUUUAAGAGCUUAACAUUGUAAGUAAAUAAUAAUUAUGAAAGCAAAAAAUUAUGGCGGUAUUUUAAGCUUUUCAGAGGAAUUUGCUCUUUAAUGGAUAAAACACCAAAAUCUUACUUAGAUUUGUGAUUUCAAUUUGUAUACCACUAUUAAAACAAUUUAUAACUUUAAUUGUUUAAAUUUACAAAACUAAAAUAUAUUAAGUCAAGGUGCAGUAAAAAUUUAAGGAUGAAGUGAAUUACAUUACUUUUUAGUGAGAUAAGUUUAUAACAAUAUUUAGGAUUUGAAAGUAAAAUUAAAAUAGGAUGUUAAUU
This 318-nucleotide ribosomal RNA is filed under the name Rhipicephalus sanguineus (brown dog tick). RNAcentral's name for it is "partial 12S ribosomal RNA". Lineage: Eukaryota; Metazoa; Arthropoda; Arachnida; Ixodida; Ixodidae. The record is from RNAcentral.